This 566-nucleotide ribosomal RNA is filed under the name uncultured bacterium. RNAcentral describes it as "partial 16S ribosomal RNA". It matches the Rfam family "Bacterial small subunit ribosomal RNA", at positions 355 to 914 of the family's 1533-position model. The record is from RNAcentral.
UGGGGAAUUUUGGACAAUGGGCGAAAGCCUGAUCCAGCAAUGCCGCGUGUGUGAAGAAGGCCUUCGGGUUGUAAAGCACUUUUGUCCGGAAAGAAAUCCUUGGCUCUAAUACAGUCGGGGGAUGACGGUACCGGAAGAAUAAGCACCGGCUAACUACGUGCCAGCAGCCGCGGUAAUACGUAGGGUGCAAGCGUUAAUCGGAAUUACUGGGCGUAAAGCGUGCGCAGGCGGUUUGCUAAGACCGAUGUGAAAUCCCCGGGCUCAACCUGGGAACUGCAUUGGUGACUGGCAGGCUAGAGUAUGGCAGAGGGGGGUAGAAUUCCACGUGUAGCAGUGAAAUGCGUAGAGAUGUGGAGGAAUACCGAUGGCGAAGGCAGCCCCCUGGGCCAAUACUGACGCUCAUGCACGAAAGCGUGGGGAGCAAACAGGAUUAGAUACCCUGGUAGUCCACGCCCUAAACGAUGUCAACUAGUUGUUGGGGAUUCAUUUCCUUAGUAACGUAGCUAACGCGUGAAGUUGACCGCCUGGGGAGUACGGUCGCAAGAUUAAAACUUAAAUGAAUUGAC